GGAAUAAGGUCGAACGGUAAACUUACAAGAUAUAUUUGGUCAAACGAAAACGAGAUAUACUGGUACAAUAAAUAGAAAAUGUAGCAGAGGCAGUUAGUGUGAUACACGUAUGUCGGACGCGCUUGGAGAGAACAUAUAUAGCGGAUGUACUUCCUGUAGGCGAUAGUCUGAUCAACUAAAUUGGGAAAUAUCCGACGUACUUUUGAUCGUGAUUAUAAAGAUUGUUGACCAUGCCUUCCUCUGCCCAGAAGAGGACUGUCAUCCUCGCCGUCGUCAUUGUGGUCUGUACACUACUCAUACUACAUCAGAGUAAGAAUUAUGACUUACAGCAAAUUACAGGUUCGGAACAGAAAGUUCUUCACUUUUUGACCAAGAAGUUCUCGACAUGGCCAAUGGAGAACCCCAUUACAGAAACAGCUAUCCUCCAGAAAUUGAACCUUGAAAAAAUAUCAGAGCUAUAUUUCAG
This is a long non-coding RNA of Mizuhopecten yessoensis (Yesso scallop), 466 nucleotides long. RefSeq lists it as uncharacterized. The transcript is spliced from 3 exons. The record is from RefSeq and is a predicted model, not a curated record. Lineage: Eukaryota; Metazoa; Mollusca; Bivalvia; Pectinida; Pectinidae.